RNAcentral lists this ribosomal RNA (860 nucleotides) under uncultured bacterium. Its description in RNAcentral is "SSU rRNA". It matches the Rfam family "Bacterial small subunit ribosomal RNA", at positions 524 to 1381 of the family's 1533-position model. The record is from RNAcentral.
UACGGAGGGUGCAAGCGUUACUCGGAAUCACUGGGCGUAAAGAGCGUGUAGGCGGAUAGAUAAGUUGGGAGUGAAAUCCUAUGGCUUAACCAUAGAACUGCUUCCAAAACUGUCUAUCUAGAAUAUGGGAGAGGUAGAUGGAAUUUCUGGUGUAGGGGUAAAAUCCGUAGAGAUCAGAAGGAAUACCGAUUGCGAAGGCGAUCUACUGGAACAUUAUUGACGCUGAGACGCGAAAGCGUGGGGAGCAAACAGGAUUAGAUACCCUGGUAGUCCACGCCCUAAACGAUGUACACUAGUUGUUGUGAGGCUCGACCUUGCAGUAAUGCAGUUAACACAUUAAGUGUACCGCCUGGGGAGUACGGUCGCAAGAUUAAAACUCAAAGGAAUAGACGGGGACCCGCACAAGCGGUGGAGCAUGUGGUUUAAUUCGACGAUACGCGAAGAACCUUACCUGGUCUUGACAUAGUAAGAAGAUUUCAGAGAUGAGAUUGUGUCUGCUUGCAGAAACUUAUAUACAGGUGCUGCACGGCUGUCGUCAGCUCGUGUCGUGAGAUGUUGGGUUAAGUCCCGCAACGAGCGCAACCCUCGUGAUUAGUUGCUAACAGUUCGGCUGAGAACUCUAAUCAGACUGCCUACGCAAGUAGGAGGAAGGUGAGGACGACGUCAAGUCAUCAUGGCCCUUACGACCAGGGCUACACACGUGCUACAAUGGGGUAUACAAAGAGCAGCGGUACGGUGACGUGGAGCAAAUCUUAAAAAUGCCUCCCAGUUCGGAUUGUAGUCUGCAACUCGACUACAUGAAGUUGGAAUCGCUAGUAAUCGUAGAUCAGCUACGCUACGGUGAAUACGUUCCCGGGUCU